GAUGAACGCUGGCGGCGUGCCUAAUACAUGCAAGUCGAGCGAACAGACGAGGAGCUUGCUCCUCUGACGUUAGCGGCGGACGGGUGAGUAACACGUGGAUAACCUACCUAUAAGACUGGGAUAACUUCGGGAAACCGGAGCUAAUACCGGAUAAUAUAUUUAACCGCAUGGUUCAAUAGUGAAAGACGGUUUUGCUGUCACUUAUAGAUGGAUCCGCGCCGCAUUAGCUAGUUGGUAAGGUAACGGCUUACCAAGGCAACGAUGCGUAGCCGACCUGAGAGGGUGAUCGGCCACACUGGAACUGAGACACGGUCCAGACUCCUACGGGAGGCAGAAGUAGGGAAUCUUCCGCAAUGGGCGAAAGCCUGACGGAGCAACGCCGCGUGAGUGAUGAAGGUCUUCGGAUCGUAAAACUCUGUUAUUAGGGAAGAACAAAUGUGUAAGUAACUAUGCAAGUCUUGACGGUACCUAAUCAGAAAGCCACGGCUAACUACGUG
This 497-nucleotide ribosomal RNA is filed under the name uncultured bacterium. RNAcentral's name for it is "partial 16S ribosomal RNA". It matches the Rfam family "Bacterial small subunit ribosomal RNA", at positions 28 to 507 of the family's 1533-position model. The record is from RNAcentral.